Molecule: RNA transcript, 2078 nt
Organism: Magnolia sinica
Lineage: Eukaryota; Viridiplantae; Streptophyta; Magnoliopsida; Magnoliales; Magnoliaceae
Gene name: B-box zinc finger protein 19-like
Exons: 4
Source: RefSeq, a predicted model, not a curated record
GACUCCAGGAAGCCCACCUCACUAGUCGUUCCAAUCACCAGCAAGUGUUUACCCUGGCAUCAAAACAGAAUUGAAAUUAAUAAAUCUUCUAUUAACUAGCAUAGAACUGGAUAUUGGUGGCAUCAGCAAGGACAAAAAUACACAGACUAAUACCAAAAUAGUUUGUAAAAUCAAUUGCCAAAAUUUCCACCACUAUGGCUACGUACCAUCCAAAUGGGUUGGAUCCUUUCCUGUAGGAGACCUCACAAAACUAAUACCUGUUUGGUUUCAAUAUAGUUUCCAGGGGACAAACCCAUUCCUUUGGAAGAGCAAGCCUUGCAACCUAUAGAACCAGUUGAAUUUAGUAGGCAACAGACUCAGCUGUCUAAAUUGACAACGAAUGAGAAACGGCAAAACCACAGGGUCUCUCCUGUUCCAGUGCUAGACACUAAUAUAGAAGAUCCGAGCAAGAUUGCCUCUACAAUGAUUGAUCUCAACUCGAGGCCAAACCAGAUUCAUGGGCAGCCUUCAAAUACACAGUGUAUUUUUGUGUUCAUAAGGUGCAGGGGAUGAAUGCUUUAAACGAUAGCAAUCAUGAGUGUGCAAGCGUAGUUCCAGUGGGAUCUUGCAAUCAAGAUCUAGAGAAAUAUGAAGAGUCUUUCCCUGUUUCAGUGGAAGUUCUUGAUUCCAGUUUCUGCCUUCCAAUAGGAAAAGCUAAGGGACUUGAAGCCUAACAGGCUAGUCUAUCCUAUUGCCAUAACAAAGUCAGCUUUUGCUUGGGUCUUGGUUAUGUUAAACAUCUUUCUUGGGCGUCAAAGAUUCUAUUGAUGGUAGCAUGUGUUCUAUGUGCACUGAUUGGUAUAUUUACAAUAAUUUUUGCAAUUCCAUGACAUGGUAUAUCAUGCUAAACUGAAUUAGAAUGCACUACUUAACUAUGUAUAAUCUUGCAUGUGUUCAUACCUGUGGGGUCCAUGUUUGAGUGGUCUAAGCUGAUGAUAUAAUGUGCCCCAUUGCGGAUGAACAUUGCACGGAAAUCUCCCAAGUGAGAAAACCUAACCAUUCUAAUUAAGAAUAUGCUGCAACAAUUUGUAUUCAAGCAAGAAAAUGCUAUAUAUUAUCUAUGUAUAAUCUUGCAGUCCAGGAGAUUUUUACUGCAUGAGCCAUCAAUGGAUGGACCCACCAUAUCAAUUGUUUGGAUCACUCGAGCUGUGGGUUCCACUUGUACAAAAUGGAAACCUACUCUAUGCUCUAGAAUGUCAGCCCUAGCAUUGCAUUAAUACCUCUUUAUUUAUCCGUGGUUUGUUGUUUCACAACUGAAUUUUGGUGGACUAUGAUUUUUCAUAGAGUUGAUGCCAUGAAAUGUUUCUUCAUGUUUCUUCAUCCCAAGUAAAAAAUUUGAAUUCUUAUGCUCUUGAAAUUUGAAUUAUGAUGGUUGAUCUUGAGUUGGUAUUUAAUAAUUAGGUUGUCCGAGACAUUCAUAUCUUGUGAUCAGAUGAAUGAAUAGGGAUUGAUUUCUACAGGCUUUGGUUGCACAUGCUGCAGUUCUUAUUGGUGUGCAGUUCUUGUAAGAAAAUAGAAUACAGCUUUGAAUGUAUUUCCAAUGUAGUGAAUUUUUGAAGUUGUAUCUCGUUGUAAACAGGGGCACUUCUGUGAUUUGAGGCUUCAUCGCAUCAUCAAUAAUGCCAGGUUUGCUAUUUUAAGUUACUAGAUUGUAAUAUCUUACUGAUUGGAUGUUUCUGAGUGUCCAAAAAUAGUUGGACAGCAAGUUUUAGAAAGGCCCAAUCAUUCAAUGGUUAGGAUCACAAUGUGAGGUAAUUUGAAGAUAAUUCUCAUGUUUGAAAUGUCCAUGCGAUAUUUCGCAUUUUACUCUAGUGUUACAAACUUGAGAUCUAAAACUUUCUGAAAGAAAGUUGAUAAUUGGAUACUAUCUGUUUUGGAGGCUAUGUAUUGCUGAUUUUGUUCAGGCCAUGACUGUCCAACAAGUUAAGGCACCUAUGGAUCUAAAGAAAGAGAUGGGAAGAUUAAUAUUUUAACAAAAGUAUGGGGAAGCAUUCACUCCCAUGAAUUGUUGGAUGUUUAUUUGGUUUUUAGAUGAUGCA